RNAcentral lists this long non-coding RNA (1773 nucleotides) under Salmo salar (Atlantic salmon). RNAcentral's name for it is "lncRNA (ENSSSAG00000079640.2)". The record is from RNAcentral. Lineage: Eukaryota; Metazoa; Chordata; Actinopteri; Salmoniformes; Salmonidae.
UACAAACUAGCGUUCUGUUCAGUAAUGUAAGUCUGGUAACUCUGGCUUUAGCAAUGUUAGUCUUUGAAAAGAGAAAAUGCAAAGGCAACGGCUGCUAAGAAUAAUUCUCUAUGCAGGGUAUGAGUUGUGUUGUGGCGUGUGGUUAUGUGGUGUUGCAAUGAUACUGCUUUGCCCAUAGGGUGCAUUUCAAAACAUCCUACCUCAAUGGUAGAAGUUUCAAAGUUGACUAAUUAUGGCACAAGCUGUGAGGCUACACGGUAACGGAAAAGCAAAAGUCUUGACAGAUUCACGCCUUCACAAAAGAGACAGUCCUUUUAGAGUUAAAGGACUCACAAAAGAUGGAGACUUCACAGAGGUCUCCCGUUCAGUCAUCCUUUCUGAUCUCAAUAAUAGUUGUGCUGAAUAUCAUCGUAUGGAUGUUUCUAAUGUCAGCAGUGGGAUUAGGGGCUAUGCACCUACAUGACUGCCCCUUACAGCCUUAUAUCCCCAUCUACCUGCUGGUGUUCGGGGUGACGUCCAUCGCCUCCCUGCUCCUAUCCUACCUCAAUAACACACUGGAGACUGGCUUCCUGAGCCUACUGUGUUCCUCCUGCAUCUUCCUGCUCCAGCUCUUCAACCUCGGCUGGUUCAUCACAGGCUCCCGAUGUCAUUCUUCUGUGAGCUGCUCCAUGCAACAAACGCUUGAGAGCAGUGUGCUCUUCUUCUUCUGCUUCUUUAACUUUGUAUUGGCUGAUCGCAACCACCACCGCCACCUACUUACUGUACUGGAGUGUGAGGCCAGUCACAGCCUCCCUAUUCAUACAUUUCUCUUAUCUAGUCCUGUGUUUCAGCCUACUGUUCUGGAGUGUGAAUUCAUUACACGUUGUCACACAAAAAAGGAAGGGAAAAAGGACUGGGAAAAGGGGAAAAAAGUGCCCUACCAACUAACCCUACAGCCAUUAAAAUCUCACCAAUAUUCCACUACUUGGCCCUAUCUGAUCCUACACCUGGCCGGCAGCCUGGACCCAUCUUCCUCUACUACUCUCUUUACUGCCUCAGCAUAUUACACCUUCUGUACUACUCUAAUCCUGGCAACCUCAACCUGCCUUUCUCUCAAAUCAAAAAUCAAAUCAAAUUUAUUGGUCACAUACACGUGAUUAGCAGAUGUUACUGCGGGUGUAGCGAAAUGCUUGUGCUUCUAGCUCCGACAGUGCAGUAAUAUCUAACAAGUUAUACAACAUAUACCCAAAUCUAAGUAGGAAUGAAUUAAGACUUUAUACAUAUGGACGAGCGAUGCCAGAGUGGAAGGGACUAAGAUACCAUAGAAUAGUAUAGAAUACAGUAUAUACAUAUUAGAUGAGUAAUGCAAGAUAUGUAAACAUUAUUAAGUGACUAAGAUACCGUAGAAUAGUAUAGAAUACAGUAUAUACAUAUGAGAUUGGUAAUGCCGGAUAUGUAAACAUUAUUAGAGUGACUAGUGUUCCAUUCCUUAAAGUGACCAGUGAUUCCUAGUCUCUGCCUAUAGGCAGCAGCCUCUAAUGUGCUAGUGAUGGCUGUUUAACAGUCUGAUGGCCUUGAGCUAGAAGUUGUUUUUCAGUCUCUCAGUCCCAGCUUUGAUGCACCUGUACUGACCUCGCCUUCUUGAGGAUAGAAGGGUGAACAGGCAGUGGCUCAGGUGGUUGACGUCCCUGAUGAUCUUUUUGGCCUUCCUGUGACAUCGGGUGCUGUAGGUGUCCUGGAGGGCAGGUAGUUUGCACCCAGUAAUGCGUUGGGCAGACCGCACCACCCUCUGGA